GAUAGCCUUUGUUGACAAACUGAACUACGUCCAAGGAAUUAUUUUCUAAACUUAAGCCAAAAUAUCUCACAAAAAUUGUUAAAAAUCUAGUUAAUUGCUAUCCCAAAAUCAGUGAAUUCUAACGCUUAUUCGGGAUUAGAAAACACAGCUAACUUGCAUUCCCAGGCUGUUCUUAACAUAAGCUGGUGAAUAGUUAAGCCCGUGGGACAAAAUUUGAAUCCAUCCAUCUAUCAGAGUUGAAAGACCAGCGGUGAGAUCCUUUUACGAUUUACGUCUUAAGUUCGAUAAAAGAAAAC
Molecule: long non-coding RNA, 296 nt
Organism: Armigeres subalbatus
Lineage: Eukaryota; Metazoa; Arthropoda; Insecta; Diptera; Culicidae
Exons: 3
Source: RefSeq, a predicted model, not a curated record